This is a non-coding RNA of Misgurnus anguillicaudatus (oriental weatherfish), 2114 nucleotides long. The record is from RefSeq and is a predicted model, not a curated record. Lineage: Eukaryota; Metazoa; Chordata; Actinopteri; Cypriniformes; Cobitidae.
UAGUUUUAUGUAACCCCACCACUGGGUUAUUUUCUGGGUAAUUUUCACUGAGAGUGGAAUCAAUACACCCCCUUCCCCACCCGGACUCAACAACCCAGCUCAUUGGGUCAAAUCAACUCGGCGCAGAUUCAGGUGCAGCACACGGGCUGACUGAAUUUGAGGUGGAUGCAAAGCACACUGAUAUUUGGAGAAAUAAGGUUCGUAUCAACAUAUUUAUUCAUAUAACAUAUAUUUUUAAACCUAUUUAUACACGUAUCAUAAUACCGAGGGCUAUAUAAAGACGUAAGUGCCAUUACAUUCAGUUUUACAUGGCAUUAAAUACGCCGCCAGCUUCGUUCGUUUAGGUUGGCUUGUUUGAUAUGCCCGUUGGAUAGUAAAUACGUUUUCUACUGUUUUUGUUUAAUGUUUUAAACGUCCCCUUUGGACAAAGCCUUAAGUUUUUUUCUUAACUAACGUUAUAUGACGACAUUUACAUUACUUCAAAGCCCAGUUAACUGUUAACUUAAAACGAGAUUAAUAUAAGUUAAAGUAAAUGCAUUCUUUGCUUUUUCAGAUUAUUAAAAUGAGAUUUUUGACAAUUACAGCCCGUAACAAAUCUCUGGUAAUUAAUUUCUGAAAACCAUUUUUUGUACACGAACAGUUAAAGCAGCCCAUCCCCCGCUGUACAGCAGUGCUGCUGGGUCAAAACAACCCAAUUGCUGGAUCAUCUGUCGCAGGGAUUUUGGAUCGUCAGAAGGAGAAAUGCAGCAGGACUUUACAAGCAGACAUUCUUCAGCGGUUCUUUCCUGGUGAAAUAAAGGUGGUCUGAGUUUCCAUUAGUUUCCUCGGCUAACUACCCCAGGCAUGAUUGCACAAGACUUUUACACAUUACACCAGGAUGCAGCUCCAAAACUCUUCGAGAAAUGGCUCCCUUGAUAUACCGAUAGGAUCUUGCAAAGCUUCCAUGUUCAGUUGAGGAGAUGACACAAGAUGCAAACGGAUAUCUUGCAUUAAAGCUGCUCCCUGUUUUGCUUCCACCUCCACCCUUCAAAACUGCCAGAAAAAGUCCGGCCCAGCAUUGAUGAUGGCAAAAAAGCUUUCAUCGACAUUCAGCCUGUUGGAACAUAUGAUGGAGUACCUCCAGAAGGCUGAAGCAUCAGGACUUAACCCUUAUUUCCUGUCACUUGAAAAUGGACACAUGAGUCCCAGGCAUUCGUCAUCCUUGGAGGAGAAACUUUGGACAAGGCACUUAGAUUGGGGUAGUAGAAGCACUACAUUCUUGCAAGUAAAUGACAAGAGGUUUUUUGAAUAGACUGGGUUUCAGGUACAAGAGUUAUCAUUUUAGUUUUUUUUACAGACUUAAAGGUGCUCUAAGCGAAUCUGUGUGAUGUUACUUUUUGUUGAUGUUUGAACUGUUUUCAAACAAACGGAGCGAAGCUAACUCCUCCCCUCCUUUCCGUUCUUUCAUGAACGCGUCAAACCCUCAACCCCAAAUCCUUCUUGUCGUUAAUUGGCUGGAACACUUUGUUAUCCUUUCUGGUAGUAGGUUUGGCCACUUUGUUUUUAUUGCAGUUUGUGGAGCCUAGGCUGUCUACAGAGAUCACAUUUUUUACAGUUUGAUCAGCAGACAGGCAGCAAGCAGAUAGUGAGGAGAUGUUUGUUGUAUGUAACAAAAAAUGUUUUAUGGUCUAAAAUGCGUGAAUUCGCUUAGAGCACCUUUAAGGAAGAGUAUUACUUGAUGAAUAUUAAUGACAUGUUUAUGAAAUGUUACACUGGCAAAAUGCUGUCAACAUUUCAUAGUUUUUUUUUGUGUGUGUUCAUAAUGUAGACUAAAACAAUACUGCUUUGUAACAAACAGUUGUUCUUAAAGGUAUUUUAUGAAUUUCAUGAUUUUUUUUUUAAAUGUUAAAACAUAUAGGGGCGGUUUCACAGACAAGGAUAAGACUAGUCCUAGAAUAAAGUAAAUGUAAGAGCUGUCCACAGCAAAAUCCCCGGUGUUAAAUAAACACUGUGGGUGUAUAUAUAAUCCACUCCCAGAUGGGUGUGUAUAAAGACUGGUGUUAAAAUUUAACACUGAAGCAGUGUUAAAGUUAAUGAGAUAAUUAAGUGAUGAUUAAGACAUUAAUGGUGAACAC